GGAGAGGUGGCGGAGCCAGGUUGAACGCGUUUGUCUUGAAAACAAAAGGGGUGAAAGCCUCCGGGGGUUCGAAUCCCUCCUUCUCCGCCA
Molecule: transfer RNA, 90 nt
Filed under: Nitrosomonadaceae bacterium
Lineage: Bacteria; Pseudomonadati; Pseudomonadota; Betaproteobacteria; Nitrosomonadales; Nitrosomonadaceae
Description: tRNA-Ser
Rfam family: tRNA
About the family: Transfer RNA (tRNA) molecules are approximately 80 nucleotides in length. Their secondary structure includes four short double-helical elements and three loops (D, anti-codon, and T loops).
Source: RNAcentral